CAGCCGACAUCAUUUUGUUCCCUCCCAAUUCCUUUUUUGUCUUCAACUCAAAGCAUCAUACACACACAAACACAAUGCAGACAUCUUAUCUUCUUAUUCAUUUCACAAACCCCUCACAACCCUCCUUCUUCAAACUGUAGAAUCACAAUACACUCACCUGUUACCCUCUCCAAAUGAAACGACGGCCACCACUGUCGGGUGGCGGCAUACGGCGGCGUACGGCGGCGACGCCAAGGGAAAACGAGAGAGCGAGAGAGAGCGAGACGAGAAGGAGAUCGAGAACAACAGCAACGACGACGACGGUAGCUCCGACGUCGUCUACGGCGGUGCGAUUCAGGUCGUCUGGUUCGGCUCGGCUUCCAAAGCUUGGGUCGGUUCAGGUUCCGUUUCAGAGACGGUGGUGGUUACCUUUGGUGGUUCGUGUUUCGGCUCGGUCUUGAUUCGGGUCAGUUUCGGUCUCGCCGGAACCGGAGUCUUGACGGAACUCCUUCUUUCCAUAUUCGGGUAAACGCUUACGUCCGUUCUCUUGGGCUUUCUCCAAUCCUUACUCGUGCGUUAAUUCAAGAAAUCCCCAUACGCAACCACUGUGGAUGUUGACGAUGCAUGGAAUCUAGUAGGAUGCUUAGAUACACACUUAAAAAUUUGUAUUCAUGUCGUAUUAUUUCAUUAUUCUUGAUGUUGUAUUUUGUUUCGAAACCUUGAAAUUGAUUCUUUAGAAAUGGAAGGAAAUGAUUAUUUAAA
Helianthus annuus (common sunflower) is the source of this 741-nucleotide long non-coding RNA. RefSeq lists it as uncharacterized. The transcript is spliced from 3 exons. The record is from RefSeq and is a predicted model, not a curated record. Lineage: Eukaryota; Viridiplantae; Streptophyta; Magnoliopsida; Asterales; Asteraceae.